This 1193-nucleotide long non-coding RNA is filed under the name Panax ginseng (ginseng). RNAcentral's name for it is "long non-coding RNA (PGIN_LNC015839)". Lineage: Eukaryota; Viridiplantae; Streptophyta; Magnoliopsida; Apiales; Araliaceae. The record is from RNAcentral.
CAGAUCUUUGUUUUGUUUCAUAUUCUGCAUCUGGGUUUUGGGUUUUAUUUGAAUACGUUUAGUGUACAAUUUUCAAGAUUCUUUUUUGGGUAUGUUUAGGAAAAAUACAACAAGAAAGUGAAAGGAAAACUAGAUUAGAUGUCUUUUUUUCCCCUUCUUUUCCCCCUUUUUAUGGGUUUCGGGUUAUCUUUCUGAGUUGUAUUUAGCUCUUGUAGUUCAGUUCUUGCAUACACCUAAUAAGCAUAUAUACUUUAUUUUGGUUAAGAUUAAAAUUUGAGUUAAUUUAGUUGAUGCUUAAUAGGAUGGAUUGUAUAGCUGGAUCCUUGCUAUCUUAUGAAUGUUGGGAAUGACAUUGAUGAUUUUCCUAAUUGCAUUUUCUAUUAUUAUCCAAGUUAUCUACUCCUAUAAUUGAAAGGUUUUUAGGCUUUGUGUUCCAUAAUUGCAUUAGCACAGAAUGCUGGCUGAUGUUUAAGGCUUCUGUUGGAAAAGUUUUAGACUUUUUGUUUCUUUGCAAUGGUAUGCGACUAGAAGUUUACUUGCUAUAAUUGUUACUAUUUUGGGAUUUUGAUCAAUGAUGAAGAGUUCUUUGGUGAGUUAUGAGAAAAAUCUACGCUGUACUCCAUGUUAUUAGGACAAAGGGUUGGUUUUAAAUAACGGUCAUAACCGUGGUAGCAGCCUUGGAGAUGUGGAAUGAAGUAGGCAUUACUUAAUGGUCACGGAUACUAGACGCAUGGAUAUACUUUUUGAAUUUACUCCAACCCGAGAACAUGAUGAUAUCUCGUUUCUAUAACUUUUAGAUCAUAAAAUUUAGUGUUUUCUAUAUUAUCAUAAAUGUGGCAUUGUUUACCUUGUGAUUUUAUUUAUUACAAUUUGCUAUUAUGGAUAGACACUUAUAGACAAAUGAGUAUCAAGUAAAAGAUAACAGGAAAAUCACCGAUUUUUUUUUUACUUUUUAACAAAGAUAUCUAUAUCCAUAUUAAGUUUAAAUCGUGAGUAGAUGAUCUCAUUAGUGUCCUCUCAUUAUCAUACUGUUUUGACUAGCCUUGAGAAGGUUAGUGGCAAAAAAAAGUUAAUGGAAAAUAGAAUUUAUAAAUUUAAAGCAUUUGACAUUUUCUAUGAUUUUCGGACAGAAAUAAAUGCAAGGAUCUUUAAUAGGGGAUGUCUAUUUAUGUCAUUCGAAAAGUGUUUUUUUU